GUGAUUCAAGCAAACCCUAAACCUACUCCACCUCCACACACACCGCCGAUUACAUGGAGAGAGAACGAUGAGAGAGAUCAGAAAGGAGAGAGAGAACGGUGUGUGUCGGAACGGCGGCGUUGCCUAUCACUGGUGGUGUGGUGGUGACUAGAGAAAUUAUCAGUGUGUGGUGGUGCCGGAUUCACGGUGCGGUUCCGGUGGUGACGGAAUCAGGGUGCGGUUCCGGUGGUGAUUAGCGGCGUAGAGAAGAUGCUAGGGUUCCGGUGAAGGUCGGGCAAAAUUACGGUACCACGGGUGUCGGGAUCAACAUGAACAGACGACACCACGGGUGUCGGGAUCUCUGCCGGUGAGAGAUCUGAAAGUUUUAGGGUUCCGACGAGUCAGCUUAGCUCCGGUGAGAACCUGCUUUCCUGAACCAGGGAAGAUUGUUUUCGUUGUGUCAUUCAAUGGAUACUUCUUGCCAAGUUUUUAGGUGUAUUGUUAGGCUAUAGGGUGUGGUCAUGACCCUUAUGACCAUCAUGACCCUCCAUGUUAGUGCCAUGUAACCCACCUCUAUUCCACCAUCCAAAACCACUAUCCUAAGGGUGUGGUCAUGACCCAAACCACUAGCCCCUUAUUUAUUUUAAUUUAUCUUUGUUUAAAGAGAAAAAAGGAAAUGAUUUGUUGAAAAAUGGAAAAGAGGGUCAUGGUUGCCAUGGUUUAAUCCAUGCAAACCAUGGUGGAUCAAUCAAGGGGGUGGUGUAGUCUUCUAUUUAUGUUCCUAGGUGGCAAAUCAUGUACCAACCAUGACCCCCACACCCUAUAGCCUUACAAUGGCACCUUGAUUUCCACAUAAAGUAAAAGAAUAAAGUAUCUAUAAUUUUUUUUCUAUAAUUCUUUUAAACGAUUUCAUGUGAAAUCUACAAAGAGUCUUGAAAAGUAACUGUGCUUCAAUCAAAAAUAUAUUAUAUUAGAAGGUUAUAUGUAUAUGCAAACCUAAGUAGUUGAUGAUAUUCGAGUAAAGCAUUAUUGUAUAAUGUGUUUAUAGUAAGAAAAGUCUUUGGUAGUUGAUCAUGAACUUUAGAAGAGUGUUGUUCUUUCAAUGUAACGAAAAAGUAUAUGGAUAUUGCAUAAGAUAGAAAAGAGCUUUUACUAGAGUUACAUGUCCUGAAAAGACAUUAAGGUAUGAUUUACACUUAUGAGGGGGUGAUUGUUGAUAAUCAUAUUGUUACCGAGCCGAUUACUUUACUAAAAUCGACAGAAGAGGAGGGAUGGUCAUCCGGCGGUAUGAUGGUGAGUUUGCGGGUUCCGGCGAGGCAGUGAUUGACCAAGAUAAUUUGAAAACUUUCUGUGGUCAUAAAGUAUAGAUGUGGAACUCCAGGAACUGCCAAGAAGAAAGGAAUAACAUGAUCAGGAACAUACAUUCAAGAACUGAAGUGUUCGUAGUAAUUAAGAUCGUCGUAGAGUAUUAUUGGCGACAUAUCAUGUGAUUACACCAAGAAUGAUUUGGUUUAGCAUGAUCGUGUUAUGAGUUGUGAUGUCAAACGUACACACCAAGAAUGAUUAAGUUUAGCAUCAUUGUGUUAUGAGUUGUGAUGUAAAGCGUACACACUAAGAAUGAUUGAUCCGGUUUAGCAAAGAAUGAUUUGGUUGAGUGCGCCGUAACGCGGCGCUGCGCAUAAAACUAGUUACUACAAGAAUAAGACCGUCCGUAAUAGGGCGUAUUUUCUAAAAAAAAUUCGAAGAAAGCGCCGGAAAACGCCCCAUCGCCACUACACACCGGCAUUUUUGGGCGUGAUUUCGGCAGAAUUAGUAUGUGGCGUUUUUUGAAUCACGCUGCAAGGGGGUUUGACCGGCCAAUCAUGUGCUUCCAAUUCAAAUACCUUUAUAUUUA
This 1873-nucleotide long non-coding RNA is filed under the name Helianthus annuus (common sunflower). RNAcentral describes it as "hypothetical non coding rna". The record is from RNAcentral. Lineage: Eukaryota; Viridiplantae; Streptophyta; Magnoliopsida; Asterales; Asteraceae.